ACAAUUGAGUGAAAUAUGGGAAGAAACCUUCUCCUCACACCUACCCUUUCUUCAUUCUCUUCUGCUCUGCAGGGGCUUCCACCGGCACCCUUAGAUUUUCCUUUUUCAUUCCUUAGAUGGAGGCAGCGUUAAUUUAGGAUGCAAAGCAUCUGCAGAGGAAAAGAUUUAUGCCUCCACUGCUCACACAUGAUGGUCCUGAUCCAGAGAGGAACCUCUCAUGCUUGCUUCUAAGUUAAAAAUCAAGGGAGACUCAGUUGCUCAGAGAAUCUUUUGGGGCUAAUCCAAUUGUUAAUCCCAGAUGAGUCAGACCCAUGUAAAUCCCACUGAUUCCGUGGCUGAACUCAAGUAACAAGUUACAACUAGAGUAGACCUAUUGAAUCAGUGGAAUUUACAGAGGAGCUGGCUCAGCAAUUUCCCACUGAUUCAGUGAGCCUACUCUAUUUGUGAUUUUUCCUGGAUUUCAGCUAUUGCAUCUAUGCUGGCUUCAGCAAGCAAUGGGAUUUAGCCCUUAAAAUGUAGUUUAAUUGGUAGAGCACAUGCUUUGUAUCUUUAAUCUCUGAUAUCAAAGGAACACUCAUGAAAUCAUGGAGUGAGCCAUUGCCUACCAGUGUGAGCAAUACUGAGCUGGAUUGGGAAAUGGUCUGCCUCUGUCUGUCCCAAAUGGACCCACCAGCCAGUUUCCAAUUAAGAACACAUAAAACAAUGAAGCACAGGAGAAACCUCAACAGCAGCUCAACAGAACGAAAUGGAGCAGUAAACGAUGAAGCCAUGAAGAGCCAGGUUAGAUCACUGAAUGUUCUAAAAUGUUUGGUGACUUAUUCAAUAACAUCCAACAAGUUUGAAAACUGGCUAUGGUUCCCAAGACCGGCAUUGCAGGAGAACCCAGGCAAACUUUGGAUAAAUGGAAGGUAAACCGAAAACAAGCGCAACUGGUUGCACUGCAGAAUCCUGAUUACAGGACAUCUAUGCUAGCAUCCAGUUUCCUAACUUUGUAGCACAUCGGUAUGAUGGACUA
Molecule: long non-coding RNA, 1015 nt
Filed under: Pogona vitticeps (central bearded dragon)
Lineage: Eukaryota; Metazoa; Chordata; Lepidosauria; Squamata; Agamidae
Description: lncRNA (ENSPVIG00000010922.1)
Source: RNAcentral